Molecule: unclassified non-coding RNA, 205 nt
Filed under: Hevea brasiliensis (rubber tree)
Lineage: Eukaryota; Viridiplantae; Streptophyta; Magnoliopsida; Malpighiales; Euphorbiaceae
Source: RNAcentral
AAAAAAAAAAAAAAAAACAACCAGUUUCACCCCGUAAAGACAAUAAUAAUCUCUUGUUUUCUUCUCUUUUUCAAGUGGCUGUCAUUAGAAUUAGUUAACCAUCAUUUUCUAUUAAGGAUAUUUUCCCCUACCUUCGAUUUUUUUUCCCCCUACCUUUGCCACACUUGUAUAUAUAUGUAGCCUGGAAAAAGGCAUACGGUUGGUG